This 305-nucleotide ribosomal RNA is filed under the name uncultured bacterium. Its description in RNAcentral is "bacterial SSU rRNA". It matches the Rfam family "Bacterial small subunit ribosomal RNA", at positions 332 to 652 of the family's 1533-position model. The record is from RNAcentral.
UUUAGCCUACGGGGCGCAGCAGUGGGGGAUAUUGGACAACGGGGGGAACCCUGAUCCAGCGACGCCGCGUGAGUGAAGAAGUAUUUCGGUAUGUAAAGCUCUGUCAGCAGGGAAGAAAGCAGUGACGGUACCUGACCAAGAAGCCCCGGCUAACUACGUGCCAGCAGCCGCGGUAAUACGUAGGGGGCAAGCGUUAUCCGGAAUUACUGGGUGUAAAGGAAGCGUAGACGGCUGUGCAAGUCUGGAGUGAAAGGCGGGGGCCCAACCCCCGGACUGCUCUGGAAACUGUAUGGCUGGAGGGCAGG